GACGAACGCUGGCGGCGUGCUUAACACAUGCAAGUCGAACGAAGAGCGAUGGAAGCUUGCUUCUAUCAAUCUUAGUGGCGAACGGGUGAGUAACGCGUAAUCAACCUGCCCUUCAGAGGGGGACAACAGUUGGAAACGACUGCUAAUACCGCAUACGAUCUAAUCUCGGCAUCGAGGAUAGAUGAAAGGUGGCCUCUACAUGUAAGCUAUCACUGAAGGAGGGGAUUGCGUCUGAUUAGCUAGUUGGAGGGGUAACGGCCCACCAAGGCGAUGAUCAGUAGCCGGUCUGAGAGGAUGAACGGCCACAUUGGGACUGAGACACGGCCCAGACUCCUACGGGAGGCAGCAGUGGGGAAUCUUCCGCAAUGGACGAAAGUCUGACGGAGCAACGCCGCGUGAGUGAUGACGGCCGUCGGGUUGUAAAGCUCUGUUAAUCGGGACGAAAGGCCUUCUUGCGAACAGUUAGAAGGAUUGACGGUACCGGAAGAGAAAGCCACGGCUAACUACGUG
This 510-nucleotide ribosomal RNA is filed under the name uncultured bacterium. RNAcentral describes it as "partial 16S ribosomal RNA". It matches the Rfam family "Bacterial small subunit ribosomal RNA", at positions 28 to 507 of the family's 1533-position model. The record is from RNAcentral.